AGUUUCGCAUGAAACCAUAUUAAAGUCACAACGGUGAAAGAUGAGCAUGCGUCCCAUUAGCUAGUUGGUAAGGUAACGGCUUACCAAGGCAACGAUGGGUAGGGGUCCUGAGAGGGAGAUCCCCCACACUGGUACUGAGACACGGACCAGACUCCUACGGGAGGCAGCAGUGAGGAAUAUUGGACAAUGGGCGCAAGCCUGAUCCAGCCAUGCCGCGUGCAGGAUGACGGUCCAAUGGAUUGUAAACUGCUUUUAUACAGGAAGAAACACUACUUCGUGAAGUAGCUUGACGGUACUGUAAGAAUAAGGAUCGGCUAACUCCGUG
RNAcentral lists this ribosomal RNA (325 nucleotides) under uncultured bacterium. RNAcentral describes it as "bacterial SSU rRNA". It matches the Rfam family "Bacterial small subunit ribosomal RNA", at positions 182 to 507 of the family's 1533-position model. The record is from RNAcentral.